GAUGAACGCUGGCGGCGUGCCUAAUACAUGCAAGUCGAGCGAACGGACGAGAAUCUUGCUGCUCUGGUGUUAGCGGCGGACGGGUGAGUAACACGUGGAUAACCUACCUAUAAGACUGGGAUAACUUCGGGAAACCGGAGCUAAUACCGGAUAAUAUUUUUAACCGCAUGGUUCAAAAGUUAAAUACGUUCUUGCUGUCACUUAUAGAUGUAUCCGCGCUGCAGUAGUUAGUUGGUAAGGUAACGGCUCACCAUGGCCACGAUGCAUAGCCGACCUGAGAGCGUGAUGCGCCACGCUGGGACUGGGACACGACCCAGACUCCUAGGGGCGGCAGCGGUAGGGACUCUUCGGAGAUGGGGGGAAGAUUGACGGAGCAGCGCAGCGUGAGUGAUGAAGGUCUUCGGAUCGUAAGACUCUGUUAUUAGUGAAGACCAUAUGUGUAAGUAACUAUGCACAUCUUGACGGUACCUAAUCAGAAAGCCCCGGCUAACUACGUG
This 497-nucleotide ribosomal RNA is filed under the name uncultured bacterium. RNAcentral describes it as "partial 16S ribosomal RNA". It matches the Rfam family "Bacterial small subunit ribosomal RNA", at positions 28 to 507 of the family's 1533-position model. The record is from RNAcentral.